UGGGGAAUAUUGGACAAUGGGCGCAAGCCUGAUCCAGCCAUGCCGCGUGAGUGAUGAAGGCCUUAGGGUUGUAAAGCUCUUUCGCCGGUGAAGAUAAUGACGGUAACCGGAGAAGAAGCCCCGGCUAACUUCGUGCCAGCAGCCGCGGUAAUACGAAGGGGGCUAGCGUUGCUCGGAAUCACUGGGCGUAAAGCGCACGUAGGCGGAUCGUUAAGUCAGGGGUGAAAUCCUGGAGCUCAACUCCAGAACUGCCCUUGAUACUGGCGAUCUCGAGUUCGAGAGAGGUUGGUGGAACUCCGAGUGUAGAGGUGAAAUUCGUAGAUAUUCGGAAGAACACCAGUGGCGAAGGCGGCCAACUGGCUCGAUACUGACGCUGAGGUGCGAAAGCGUGGGGAGCAAAACAGGAUUAGAUACCCUGGUAGUCCACGCCGUAAACGAUGGAUGCUAGCCGUUAGGGGGUUUACCUCUCAGUGGCGCAGCUAACGCCUUAAGCAUCCCGCCUGGGGAGUACGGUCGCAAGAUUAAAACUUAAAUGAAUUG
Molecule: ribosomal RNA, 540 nt
Filed under: uncultured bacterium
Lineage: Bacteria
Description: partial 16S ribosomal RNA
Rfam family: Bacterial small subunit ribosomal RNA
Source: RNAcentral